ACUCGCAGGGCUCUCACUGCUCGCGGUGCGGCAGCCGCGCGCGGACUCCGCUGCGCCUCCGAGGGGGCCAGGCACGCGGUCAAGAUCUGUGGCCACUGGUUCCCAUGGUUUCGAGGCACCAUGAGGCUCGCUGGCUCCUGGAAACUUUGGCUUUGGGCAGCACUUCUCCUGCUUCCUGCUUCCACUUCCGUGACGGUUAGGGACAAGCCAGGUAUGCCGGCCACCUCUUUGUCUAGUCCCCAAAUGUUAUUUAUAAUCUUUACUUUAAAAAAUGAUUAAAAUCUUGUUGAGAUUGAAGAGGCCAUAGAUUAAAUCUCUUAGUGGAAAUAGAUGUUUUCCCCAUUGACCUUGACAACACACAUCGAGAAUGUCUAAAAUUACCUCAUGUUUUCAUAUGCAUAUUAGUCUAGAUAGCCUUUUAUUUCUCUCAUUGAUAGUUAAAAAUAUAAAUGUGAAUGUGCAUCUGUGUGUAUGUUUCUCCCUUUCCUCUUUAAAUUCUAAGUUAUUCACAUUAUAAGUAUGGAAACCCAUCACCAGUUAGGAAAGCAGGGAUGUACAUAAGGUUAAUUAGGGAAAGUGAAAAACUGAAUAGGAAAUAGGAAAGGAAAUGUAGUUUAAUUAUUGCCAGUUUUGUAGUGUCAGAUGAGGUGAACCAAAGACAACCAGUCGUGAGAGCACUUUUUAAACUAGAUAGAUAAUACUCACUUGCAAUUGUUAAAUACCAACCUCAUAAAUAUUUCUGAAGGACUUGAAGGCAAUUUACUUCCACUUUAGAUUUUUUAAAAUGGUUAUGUGGCUAAUUUGAAAGACUUUUCUUGAACAUUGAAUAGGUGUUAAGUUCCUGAUGGAGAUCUACUUCGGUUACAAAGUUGCAGUAGAUACAGUGAAAAGCCCUUUGCUAAGCAAAGAGAAACUCCUACGCUCUUUCUGUGCAAAGGAUGACUUGUGAUGUAUUCUGGCCAUGGUCCCAGGUGAAGAUGUGUUCUUAGACUGUGUGUCUUGUGCUUGGUCUUUUAAAUAUCUCUUUCAUAUUUUUUGCUAAACAGGUAUAAACACAUCCUAGUAGAGACUUUUGAGUUUAAAGCAUUCAGAAAAUAAAAACAAUCUCUUAUAAAGAUACAACACUUCUGAGCCUCUCAGUGUCUUGUCGGUCUUUACAGUUUUUUUACUAAUUUCACAGGGUACAUUUCAUAAAUAAUCUACAUGAAAGUUUGAAUAUUCUAACACCAUACAAAUGAUGCCCUGUGGCUGUCAUACUUCUUUGGAGGGCAAAAAAAAAAA
This 1281-nucleotide long non-coding RNA is filed under the name Sus scrofa (pig). Its description in RNAcentral is "lncRNA (ENSSSCG00025020494.1)". The record is from RNAcentral. Lineage: Eukaryota; Metazoa; Chordata; Mammalia; Artiodactyla; Suidae.